ACGGUCCUAAGGUAGCGAAAUUCCUUGUCGGGUAAGUUCCGACCCGCACGAAAGGUGUAACGAUUUGGGCACUGUCUCAACGAGGGACCCGGUGAAAUUGAAAUAUCUGUGAAGAUGCAGGUUACCCGCGACUGGACAGAAAGACCCCAUGGAGCUUUACUGUAACCUGACAUUGGGUUUUGAUACAUUACGUACAGGAUAGGUGGGAGGCAUGGAAAGCUGGACGCUAGUCUGGCUGGAGCCGACGUUGGGAUACCACCCUUGAUGUAUUGAAAUUCUAACCGCGAGAGUAACGAAAUCCGGGACAGUGUCAGGCGGGCAGUUUGACUGGGGCGGUCGCCUCCGAAAGAGUAACGGAGGCGCCCAAAGGUUCCCUCAGCGCGGCCGGAAAUCGCGCGAAGAGUGUAAAGGCAGAAGGGAGCUUGACUGCGAGUCAAACACGACGAGCAGGUACGAAAGUAGGGCUUAGUGAUCCGGUGGUACCGAGUGGAAGGGCCAUCGCUCAACGGAUAAAAGCUACCCUGGGGAUAACAGGCUAAUCUCUCCCAAGAGUCCAUAUCGACGGGGAGGUUUGGCACCUCGAUGUCGGCUCAUCACAUCCUGGGGCUGAAGUCGGUCCCAAGGGUUGGGCUGUUCGCCCAUUAAAGUGGUACGUGAGCUGGGUUCAGAACGUCGUGAGACAGUUCGGUCCCUAUCCAUCGCGGGCGCAAGAGAUUUGAAGGGGGCUGCUCCUAGUACGAGAGGACCGGAGUGGACGAACCGCUGGUGUACCAAUUAUCCCGCCAGGGGUACAGUUGGGUAGCUACGUUCGGAAAGGAUAAACGCUGAAAGCAUCUAAGCGUGAAACCAGCCUUAAGAUGAGAUCUCUCAUAGAGCAAUCUAGUAAGACACCUUAAAGAAGAUGAGGUUGAUAGGUCGGGAGUGUAAGUACAGCAAUGUAUUGAGCGGACCGAUACUAAUAUGUCGAGGGCUUGACUUA
Molecule: ribosomal RNA, 979 nt
Filed under: metagenome
Description: bacterial LSU rRNA
Rfam family: Bacterial large subunit ribosomal RNA
Source: RNAcentral